UGUGUCCAGGACUAUUUCAAUAGCA
This 25-nucleotide non-coding RNA is filed under the name Mus musculus (house mouse). Lineage: Eukaryota; Metazoa; Chordata; Mammalia; Rodentia; Muridae. The record is from RNAcentral.